RNAcentral lists this ribosomal RNA (1235 nucleotides) under Anopheles funestus (African malaria mosquito). Its description in RNAcentral is "eukaryotic small subunit ribosomal RNA". It matches the Rfam family "Eukaryotic small subunit ribosomal RNA", at positions 4 to 1116 of the family's 1831-position model. Lineage: Eukaryota; Metazoa; Arthropoda; Insecta; Diptera; Culicidae. The record is from RNAcentral.
CUGGUUGAUCCUACCAGUAAUAUACGCUUGUCUCAAAGGUUAAGCCAUGCAUGUCUAAGUACAAACAUAAAUGAAUGUGAAACCGCAUAAGGCUCAGUAUAACAGCUAUAAUUCACAAGAUCAUCCUACCACUAGUUACUUGGAUAACUGUGGAAAAUCCAGAGCUAAUACAUGCAACAUGCCGGGACUGUUGCCCUCGCGGGUAGCUGAACUGGUGCACUUAUUAGUUAAACCAAUCGCCUCCGGGCGGCUUGAGUUGAAGUCUGGAUAAGGACGCAGAUCGUAUGGUCGCUUGUCGACUGACGACAGAUCUUUCAAAUGUCUGCCCUAUCAACUAUUGAUGGUAGUGUAGAGGACUACCAUGGUUGCGACGGGUAACGGGGAAUCAGGGUUCGAUUCCGGAGAGGGAGCCUGAGAAAUGGCUACCACAUCCAAGGAAGGCAGCAGGCGCGUAAAUUACCCAAUCCCAGUACGGGGAGGUAGUGACGAGAAAUAACAAUAUGGACCUCUCUAACGAUGGUCCAUAAUUGGAAUGAGUUGAGUAUAAAUCCUUCAACAAGGAUCAAGUGGAGGGCAAGUCUGGUGCCAGCAGCCGCGGUAAUUCCAGCUCCACUAGCGUAUAUUAAAGUUGUUGCGGUUAAAACGUUCGAAGUUGAUUGCCCGUCCAGACACGUGACCGCCACGGGCGCCCGGUUACACGCCGGGGCCGUUCGUGCGCGCGCUCACGGCUGCGACUCACAAUGGUGUACUUGGGCGUUACUCUGUGAACGAGUACCGUGCUACCGGUUAACUCCGGCACGGGCUCCUCAUGGUGCUCAAGAUACUCACAUUUACCUUGAACAAAUUAGAGUGCUCAAAGCAGGCUAAGACAAAGCGUCCGGCCCCCCCGUGGGGUUGGCGUUGGCCGAGAAUAAUCUUGCAUGGAAUAAUGGAAUAUGACCUCGGUUUAUACGAUUUCGUUGGUUUGUCAGAAACCUAGAGGUAAUGAUUAACAGAAGUAGUUGGGGGCAUUGGUAUUACGGCGCGAGAGGUGAAAUUCGUAGACCGUCGUAGGACCAACUGAAGCGAAAGCGUUUGCCAUGGAUGCUUUCUUUAAUCAAGAACGAAAGUUAGAGGAUCGAAGGCGAUUAGAUACCGCCCUAGUUCUAACCGUAAACGAUGCAAUUAGCAAUUGGGAGACGCUACCCCUAUUCGGUGCCUCUCAGUCGCUUCCGGGAAACCAAAAUCGGGUUCCG